GCAGUCGAACGGCAGCGCGGGGCAACCUGGCGGCGAGUGGCGAACGGGUGAGUAAUAUAUCGGAACGUGCCCAGGAGUGGGGGAUAACGUAGCGAAAGUUACGCUAAUACCGCAUACGAUCUGAGGAUGAAAGUGGGGGAUGUGCUUGCACACCUCAUGCUCAUGGAGCGGCCGAUAUCUGAUUAGCUAGUUGGUGGGGUAAAAGCCUACCAAGGCGACGAUCAGUAGCUGGUCUGAGAGGACGACCAGCCACACUGGAACUGAGACACGGUCCAGACUCCUACGGGAGGCAGCAGUGGGGAAUUUUGGACAAUGGGGGCAACCCUGAUCCAGCAAUGCCGCGUGUGUGAAGAAGGCCUUCGGGUUGUAAAGCACUUUUGGCGGGAACGAAACGGUUUUCUCUAAUACAGGGAGCUAAUGACGGUACCCGCAGAAUAAGCACCGGCUAACUACGUGCCAGCAGCCGCGGUAAUACGUAGGGUGCAAGCGUUAAUCGGAAUUACUGGGCGUAAGCGUGCGCAGGCGGUUUUUUAAGACAGAUGUGAAAUGCCCGGGCUUAACCUGGGAACUGCAUUUGUGACUGGAAGGCUAGAAUCUGGCAGAGGGGGGUAGAAUUCCACGUGUAGCAGUGAAAUGCGUAGAGAUGUGGAGGAACACCGAUGGCGAAGGCAGCCCCCUGGGCUAAGAUUGACGCUCAUGCACGAAAGCGUGGGGAGCAAACAGGAUUAGAUACCCUGGUAGUCCACGCCCUAAACGAUGUCUACUAGUUGUCGGGUCUUAAUUGACUUGGUAACGCAGCUAACGCGUGAAGUAGACCGCCUGGGGAGUACGGUCGCAAGAUUAAAACUCAAAGGAAUUGACGGGGACCCGCACAAGCGGUGGAUGAUGUGGAUUAAUUCGA
Molecule: ribosomal RNA, 901 nt
Filed under: uncultured Oxalobacteraceae bacterium
Lineage: Bacteria; Pseudomonadati; Pseudomonadota; Betaproteobacteria; Burkholderiales; Oxalobacteraceae
Description: bacterial SSU rRNA
Rfam family: Bacterial small subunit ribosomal RNA
Source: RNAcentral